Gossypium raimondii (Peruvian cotton) is the source of this 143-nucleotide non-coding RNA. The record is from Rfam. NCBI's taxonomy places the organism in Eukaryota, Viridiplantae, Streptophyta, Magnoliopsida, Malvales, Malvaceae.
UAUUAAAAAUUCAUCUAGUUGUACUCUUAAAAACUUUCAUGACUAACAGAAUAACCGGAAAUAGCACACGGCAUGUCAUGUGUGCCUCAUGCUGACAUAUAGGGAUAAGUUUUUAACAGUACAAAUGGAUUGAAUUUUUAACA